UAAUCGCAGAUCAGAAUGCUGCGGUGAAUGCGUUCCCGGGUCUUGUACACACCGCCCGUCACACCACGGAAGUUGGAGACGCCCGAAGCCGAUUAUCUAACCUUUUGGAAGAAGUCGUCGAAGGUGGAAUCAAUAACUGGGGGGAAGUCGUAACAAGGUAGCCGUAUCGGAAGGGGCGGCUGGAUCACCUCCUUUCUAAGGAGA
Molecule: ribosomal RNA, 204 nt
Filed under: Clostridioides difficile
Lineage: Bacteria; Bacillati; Bacillota; Clostridia; Peptostreptococcales; Peptostreptococcaceae
Description: partial 16S ribosomal RNA
Rfam family: Bacterial small subunit ribosomal RNA
Source: RNAcentral